Molecule: transfer RNA, 87 nt
Filed under: Candidatus Yanofskybacteria bacterium RIFOXYA1_FULL_44_17
Lineage: Bacteria; Candidatus Yanofskyibacteriota
Also listed under: 7 other names
Description: tRNA-Ser
Rfam family: tRNA
About the family: Transfer RNA (tRNA) molecules are approximately 80 nucleotides in length. Their secondary structure includes four short double-helical elements and three loops (D, anti-codon, and T loops).
Source: RNAcentral
GGAGAGAUGGCUGAGUGGCUAAAAGCAGCGGUUUACUAAACCGCCAGACUCGCAAGGGUCUCGUGGGUUCGAAUCCCACUCUCUCCG